GCACGUCCCCCAUCUUUUCCAAUGGGGCAGUUAACAGUAAGGCGGUUUUGCGGUUGGUGAUUAUUUGCAUAGUAUAGACCACGCAAUUUUCUCAGGCUCCGUGCAGGCUGUUUUCCCUGCUAUCGUGCUUUUUUACCUUUGCAAACUUGGUUGCGGUAUUUUUCGCACGUCCUUUUUCCACACAACUCUCGCACUCCCAAAAUAAUGUGCUUUGCGUGUGCGGGCGGGUACUGAUGUACUCCGACCGUUCCGACUUGCGGCGUUGGUUCGCCGUCCUGCUCGGUGUGGUUAUUUAACACCCUAUUUAAUCGCUCCAAAGCGAACAGGCAAUUUUUUGAUUUUCCCAGCCUCAAAAAAAUGUUUCCAAUAAAAAAGGCUGUUUGUUU
Molecule: non-coding RNA, 386 nt
Filed under: unclassified sequences
Description: Bacteroidales-2 RNA
Rfam family: Bacteroidales-2 RNA
Source: Rfam by way of RNAcentral